CUUUCUAAGUCUCAAUCUCCUAAUUAAUCUCAUAUCACUCUUUUCUCUAGCCUUCUCUCUCACUACUCUUUGAAAAUGGCUACUGUAUCUACGCAGUCCAACACCUUCUCAAGCUGCCUAAUCGAUGUAAGCUUUGACAUGGAUGAGGCUCUCACUUUGCCUCCAAAUUUUGGCCAUCAAAUCUCCGAAUCCCACUUUUUGGUCGCCGAUAUGCCUACGGUUGUUUCGGAUGAUGUUUGCUCCGUUUGCAUGGAGGGUUUCCAGUCAGGCGUAGGUGGGAAACGAGUCCCAUGUGGCCACGUCUACCAUGCAGGUUGUAUCUCCUCCUG
RNAcentral lists this unclassified non-coding RNA (329 nucleotides) under Hevea brasiliensis (rubber tree). Lineage: Eukaryota; Viridiplantae; Streptophyta; Magnoliopsida; Malpighiales; Euphorbiaceae. The record is from RNAcentral.